UACAGAGGGGGCAAGCGUUGUUCGGAAUUACUGGGCGUAAAGGGCGCGUAGGCGGCCUGCUAAGUCGAACGUGAAAUCCCUGGGCUCAACCCAGGAACUGCGUCCGAUACUGGUUGGCUUGAAUCCGGGAGAGGGAUGUGGAAUUCCAGGUGUAGCGGUGAAAUGCGUAGAUAUCUGGAGGAACACCGGUGGCGAAGGCGACAUCCUGGACCGGUAUUGACGCUGAUGAGCGAAAGCUAGGGGAGCAAACGGG
Molecule: ribosomal RNA, 253 nt
Filed under: uncultured bacterium
Lineage: Bacteria
Description: partial 16S ribosomal RNA
Rfam family: Bacterial small subunit ribosomal RNA
Source: RNAcentral